AAGUCCCGCAACGAGCGCAACCCUCGUUCUAUGUUGCCAGCACGUGAUGGUGGGGACUCAUAGGAGACUGCCGGGGUCAACUCGGAGGAAGGUGGGGAUGACGUCAAAUCAUCAUGCCCCUUAUGUCUUGGGCUUCACGCAUGCUACAAUGGCCGGUACAAAGGGUUGCGAUACUGUGAGGUGGAGCUAAUCCCAAAAAGCCGGUCUCAGUUCGGAUUGAGGUCUGCAACUCGACCUCAUGAAGUCGGAGUCGCUAGUAAUCGCAGAUCAGCAACGCUGCGGUGAAUACGUUCCCGGGCCUUGUACACACCGCCCGUCAAGUCACGAAAGUUGGUAACACCCGAAGCCGGUGGCCUAACCCCUUUGUGGGAGGGAGCCGUCGAAGGUGGGACUGGCGAUUGGGACUAAGUCGUAACAAGGUAGCCGUACCGGAAGGUGCGGCUGGAUCACCUCCUUUCUAAGGAG
RNAcentral lists this ribosomal RNA (465 nucleotides) under Kocuria sp. CNJ-770. Its description in RNAcentral is "bacterial SSU rRNA". It matches the Rfam family "Bacterial small subunit ribosomal RNA", at positions 1082 to 1533 of the family's 1533-position model. Lineage: Bacteria; Bacillati; Actinomycetota; Actinomycetes; Micrococcales; Micrococcaceae. The record is from RNAcentral.